RNAcentral lists this ribosomal RNA (18 nucleotides) under Festuca alopecuros. RNAcentral describes it as "partial 18S ribosomal RNA". The record is from RNAcentral. Lineage: Eukaryota; Viridiplantae; Streptophyta; Magnoliopsida; Poales; Poaceae.
ACCUGGUUGAUUCCUGCC